This is a long non-coding RNA of Chelonus insularis, 422 nucleotides long. RefSeq lists it as uncharacterized. The transcript is spliced from 2 exons. Lineage: Eukaryota; Metazoa; Arthropoda; Insecta; Hymenoptera; Braconidae. The record is from RefSeq and is a predicted model, not a curated record.
GUUCGAUCAUGUAGUGCUGGACUACUUAUAUCACUUCCAGAAUUAGUAACCUCUUGACGUGCUGCAUUCAACAAGCUAUCACUAAUAACUCUUGCACGAGAAAAUUCUUCUGCUGACAUUCGACGUGUUGAUGUCAAUUCUGAUUUAUCGAUAUACUAAACGCGUGAUACUUUCAAUAAAGCGUACAAAGCGUAGAUUGAAUGACUCAUACGGUAAUCGAGAGUUUAGAUGGUUUCGUACCGUGACUGUGAUAGUAAUGUAUUGUUGAUUGCUCAUGGCUAACAAGAUGUUGUGAUUAUUAUGAUUAUAACGGACUGUAUGAUUCGCAAACUAUAAGUAGAAUAUAAAGAAAAAAAUGGUUGCCAAUGAAUUUUUUCUAAGCCACAUUCCUUUGUUAAAUUUAAUUUAAAAUAAACUUUAAA